AGGUGGACUAGGCCGGGCGGUUUGGCCCCGCCCUUCGCCCGCACCAUGGUCAUUAGCGGGGGCCGAACGCCGAGGGCGUCCGGACAGACCGGUCCGGACCCCGGAAGCCGACAGCGAAGCCUCGUCCUUCGGGGACACCGGUUCGCGGGUCACCCCUGCAGGGGGGUCGAUACCGCGAUUUGUCGGUGGCAACCCGUCAGGCACGGAAGUGAGCAGCGGACCACCGAACGGGCGUCGCUCGAAGGGUCACGGGGUGGAGGAGGCGACCGGGACUAUCCGGGUCGGAACGCCGGGCCACCUCGGCCCGUCCACCU
This is a non-coding RNA of Halodesulfurarchaeum formicicum, 314 nucleotides long. It matches the Rfam family "Archaeal signal recognition particle RNA". The record is from Rfam. Lineage: Archaea; Methanobacteriati; Methanobacteriota; Halobacteria; Halobacteriales; Halobacteriaceae.